Molecule: long non-coding RNA, 333 nt
Filed under: Salmo salar (Atlantic salmon)
Lineage: Eukaryota; Metazoa; Chordata; Actinopteri; Salmoniformes; Salmonidae
Description: lncRNA (ENSSSAG00000096994.1)
Source: RNAcentral
AGUCAAUCGCGCACACACACUAGCUGAAUAUGCAGAGCUAGCGUGCAAAUAUUAACUAUUAAGCUAGCUAGUACCUAUUCCAUUUAUUUGGCGUCGUCAAAGAUGGAAUCAGCAUGCAGAUGACGCAGAGCAGGCAACAUAUGGCACACAGACAGCAGAGUUGGGGACAGAUAUGCAGGGACAGACUGGCAGAGACAGGGUGUCUCAGGAGGACAGGAUCAUGAAUAUGCAGCAGUCGGAGGAGAGGUUCCCCUCCAGGCCGGAGAAAAGGCUGAUAAUUACAUCUUCUUCUCCUUCAACCAAAAGAGAGCAUGACUUUGAAGAUAUGAUCAC